Molecule: long non-coding RNA, 987 nt
Filed under: Panax ginseng (ginseng)
Lineage: Eukaryota; Viridiplantae; Streptophyta; Magnoliopsida; Apiales; Araliaceae
Description: long non-coding RNA (PGIN_LNC006731)
Source: RNAcentral
AAGUUUUGAUUAUUUUGACUCAGUUUGAGAAUUGUACUUAUUACUUUAUUAAUGAAUCACCACUAUUAAUAUUUUGAGGUUGUUAGUGCUCUGUUUAUUUAUUUUGAGGUUUGUUGUGCUUUGCACGUGACCUCCCUUUCCUUUUUGGGAAGGGGGUGUUACAGAGAUGGUAUCAGAGCUUAGGUUCUUUUUUGUAGAAAACCUAUUUAGGUUUGACCUGUGAUUUGUGGGUAAAUCAUUGGGUAGACGUAGGAGUUUAAUUUGAUUUUGUUCUCUGUUUGGUUGGUCUUUAUUUUGACCAAGUGUUUUUAGCUCUUUAAAUUGUAAUUGAUUUGAGAAAGGCGAGUUAACUUGUUAAGAUUAUUAUUGUUAUAUUCGUUGGAGCAAUAAUGUUAGUUAAGGAUGGUGAUUUGAUCAUUAAGGAGAAUAAUGUCAUACUUUGUUCAAUUAAGAAAUGAUUAUACGAUUAUGAUAUGAGCAGUUGUAUCAGUGAGUUUUGAUAUUGGAGAAUUAUUUGUUAGAGUUAUUUCAGGUAAUUACAAAUUAUUAUGAUUUUGGAAUUGAGGAUUUUAUUUGGGUUAGAUUCUGAUUUUUGUUAAGUUGUGAAUAAUUUGAGGUAUGUGAAUCGGUGGGAUAAUAUGAUAAAGUGAAAACUAUUAAGUACAAAGGAUCUCUUGUAAUUUUGAGUUGUUGUAAAGAUUCGAGGUAAUUAGAUUAAUUUUUUGGAGUAAAUGAAUUUUGCGAUUAUUUCCUAGUAGAAUAUUGGAGUUAUCUUAUAUGAAAUUUUGAGUGAUAGUAUGAGGAGAUUUUGGAAUUUGUUGGGUUAAGGUUUGCACUAAGAGAAUGAUUGAUUUAUUAAAUGAUUAGAUAUUAAGUGAUGAAUCUUUAAGAGAUUUUGAAAGCUAUCGUUUGUUUAUUCAGAUAGUAGGAUAUAUGAUUUGGAGUUUGGUAUGGUGAUGGAGAGAUCUUAGUAGUAGUAUAUUUUUG